UACGAAGGGGGCUAGCGUUGCUCGGAAUUACUGGGCGUAAAGGGCGCGUAGGCGGACAUUUAAGUCAGGGGUGAAAUCCCAGAGCUCAACUCUGGAACUGCCUUUGAUACUGGGUGUCUUGAGUGUGAUAGAGGUAUGUGGAACUCCGAGUGUAGAGGUGAAAUUCGUAGAUAUUCGGAAGAACACCAGUGGCGAAGGCGACAUACUGGACCAUUACUGACGCUGAGGCUCGAAAGCGUGGGGAGCAAACAGG
Molecule: ribosomal RNA, 253 nt
Filed under: uncultured bacterium
Lineage: Bacteria
Description: partial 16S ribosomal RNA
Rfam family: Bacterial small subunit ribosomal RNA
Source: RNAcentral